GGAUGUGAGGGCGAUCUGGCUGCGACAUCUGUCACCCCAUUGAUCGCCAGGGUUGAUUUGGCUGAUCUGGCUAGCUAGGCGGGUGUCCCCUUCCUCCCUCACCACUCCAUGUGCGUCCCUCCCGAAGCUGCGCGCUCAGUCGAAGAGGAUGACCAUCCCCGAUAGAUGAGGACCGUUCUUCGGUCAAGGGUAUACGAGUAGCUGCGCUCCCCUGCUAGAACCUCCAAACAAGCUCUCACUUCAUUCAGUUACAUUACUGGCUUGGUCUUGAAACAAAGGGCUAAAAGUCGUCAUCAUUCUCUAGUUCUUUAUCCUGAUUUAUUUUCCUUUUUAGAAUUUGUAACUAGCU
This 349-nucleotide small nuclear RNA is filed under the name Castor canadensis (American beaver). Its description in RNAcentral is "7SK RNA (ENSCCNG00000024519.1)". It matches the Rfam family "7SK RNA". From Rfam's summary of the family: 7SK was discovered as an abundant small nuclear RNA in the mid-70s but a possible function has only recently been suggested. Two independent studies have found that 7SK RNA binds the CDK9/cyclin T complex (known as elongation factor P-TEFb). The record is from Rfam by way of RNAcentral. Lineage: Eukaryota; Metazoa; Chordata; Mammalia; Rodentia; Castoridae.